GAAUACCGAAGAAUGUUAUCACGGGAGACACACGGCGGGUGCUAACGUCCGUCGUGAAAAGGGAAACAACCCAGACCGUCAGCUAAGGUCCCAAAGUUAUGGUUAAGUGGGAAACGAUGUGGGAAGGCUUAGACAGCUAGGAGGUUGGCUUAGAAGCAGCCAUCCUUUAAAGAAAGCGUAACAGCUCACUGGUCUAAACAAGGGUUCCUGCGCCGAAAAUGUAACGGGGCUCAAGCCACGAGCCGAAGCUUCGGAUGCAGUCCUUCGGGGCUGCGUGGUAGCGGAGCGUUCCC
Molecule: ribosomal RNA, 293 nt
Filed under: Crypthecodinium cohnii
Lineage: Eukaryota; Dinophyceae; Gonyaulacales; Crypthecodiniaceae
Description: partial Bacterial large subunit ribosomal RNA
Rfam family: Bacterial large subunit ribosomal RNA
Source: RNAcentral